GAUUCUGCAUGGUGCCAAGUAUAUCAAAACAGCAAGGGAAAACUGGAUAUCCAGCAGGGAAUGUAAAAUAAGCAGUCAGGUUUGGCUGAAUCUUCAGCUACCAAACCCAAGAGUCACUGGAUAUGGAGACAGCUCAAGACAAACUCACAUGGAUGUACAUGCAGGGCUCCUGAUCUCCUGAAGUCUUGAUGCCUCUGAGUUAAUGCACUGCCUUGUGAAAGGACUGCAUGCUGGGGUUUAAGAGAAAAGCUUUCCUACAUGCAGUGUCAUCUACUGGUGGCAGCCCAGGUCUUGGACUGUA
Molecule: long non-coding RNA, 301 nt
Organism: Zonotrichia albicollis (white-throated sparrow)
Lineage: Eukaryota; Metazoa; Chordata; Aves; Passeriformes; Passerellidae
Source: RefSeq, a predicted model, not a curated record